Long non-coding RNA from Arachis stenosperma, 2279 nucleotides. RefSeq lists it as uncharacterized. The transcript is spliced from 2 exons. NCBI's taxonomy places the organism in Eukaryota, Viridiplantae, Streptophyta, Magnoliopsida, Fabales, Fabaceae. The record is from RefSeq and is a predicted model, not a curated record.
GUAAUUAACAAUGUAUUUAUUAUACUUUGAUUCUGGACACCUAUUACCCUAGGGUGCUAGUUGAAUGGAUAUUGGGUAUAAUUUAAAUACUUGUAGAAUUAAUGAUUAGUCAAUAAGAAAUCCAUCAACUCUCGGUAAAGAGUUUGAGCUCUAUGAUUAUAAUGACUGAGAUGAAUAAAACCUUGACCAAAGGGAUUGAAUGAAUAAAGAAAUGAGUUUCUUAAGUCAUUCACAGUUCAUUAUAAUAAUGGUAACAAGUUAGAGUUUGACAAUUAAACCAAACUCUAAGGGUGUGUGUGGUUGGGGGAAUUAUAGAACAUUCCCAGGAAUUUUAAGAUGGGAAUAUGAAAUUCCUAUGUGUGGUUCAAAGUUAAAAAAAACAUUCCAAGAUAACUUUUAUUCCUUGGAAUUGAAUUACCACUCAUUCAAUUCCUAUCUCCCCCUGGUUAUCUUUCAUUCCAAUGGGAAUGGAAUAUAAAUAAUGAAACAAAAAGACUAAAUUACCCCUAUUAUUUAAUACUAUAUUUCACUUCUUCUUCAUUUUUUUUGAAGAACUAAACCCUAGCAGAGCAGUUUUUUCCCAAAUCAGUGAGCUUCACCAACGCCACCGCCACCGGAGCCGGCACCGGCACCGGCACCGCCGUUACUCUAAACGGAAGAUUCGUCUCCUUAUCUUCUCCGAUUCAUGUUCGCAUUGCUUUUCUCUGUGAAUUUUCUUCGAAUCUCAUAUUAAGGUUUGAGUUUUUUCCCAAAUCAGUGGAGGCUUCACCAACGCCACCGCUAUCGGAGCUACACCGGCACCAUCGCCAUCGGAGCUACACCGGUGCCACCGUUACCUUAAACGGAAGACUGGUUUCCUUCUCUUUUUCAAGUUCAUGUUCGCAUUGCUUAUCUCUGCGAAUUCUCUUUGAAUCUCUCGUUAAGAUUGUUUGUUGAUAACCAUUGCCCAUGGAAAGCAAAAUGCCUUUCUCUUCAAGUAUUAUCCAAGCUAGGCCCAAACUUGAGCAGCAGUGUUGUUCUUGAAGUUUUAGAUAUGGGUCUGCAUGAUGAAGCUGAAAAAGUAAGAACUGAAGCUGUCAUUUCUAUGCCAGUGAUGCUUUUCUGGUCUACUCUUGAUAUAUCAUCUCCUGUCAUUCAAAAGAUUGAGUAAGUAACUAAGUAAAUGUUUUUGCGUACAUGAUUUAAAUAAUGUGUUUGGUCAGGCUUGUUAUUUGGUUAGUUUCAUUGUAGCUGUUUGUUUAACGUGAAGGCUCUCAUCGACGAGAUGUUGAUAUUUGAAUUGCAGGAGGUAAUUGAAAGAACAUGUUUGCUAUUUUUUUUCCUUUCCUCCGAACUGUUGCUUCCUUUUUCUAGGAUGAUUAUGUCUGGAACAAGCAUUUCUUUUUCCUUUUCUAUCUUUCUCUCUUUUUUUUCCCAUCAUUUAAAAUUCAAAUGGCAAAAUCUUGUUCUUUGAAGUGUGUUUCCCCUUUAUACCUCUAUUUUUCAUCAAGAUUGUUUGAUUAGAGGUUUUCUGUUUCCAAGGUUUUUCCUAUUCCAAUAUUAUGACAACUGCUCCAGUUCUUAAGCAUUCUUUUGCCAUUAUGUAUGUGUCAGUUAAAUUUCCCAUCACAUUGAUAUAUGCAUGGAGGAAAGUUGUAUCUCUUUUAACAAAUGAUGCACAAACAAAUCUUCUACUUGUUAUCCAUAAAGGUAUCUCUUUUAACAAGUGAUGCAUAAAGAAAUUGGUUCCCAUAACACUUGGUCUGUUGUCAUGCCUUUAUGGAUGCAGAGGAGCUACCUCUGGCUUACAUACAGAUGAAUGCCUUUAUGGUGAAGUCAUUGUUGUUUUCUCUAACCAUGUUGGAAAUCAUUUUGGUGUCUGGUUUCUUCUGAGCAUUUUGGUGCCAAGGAUGAUUAGCAAAAGAACCAUAGAUGGAGCUGCUAUUCAAUGUGAUACAAGCCUGAUGAUUGUAACUAAGAACGGAGAUUUGAAGAUUGCUUUUGUUGAAGUCUGACCACAGUUGGGCUCCAAAAGAAUCUUGUGAAAUAAACCAAUCUAUGUUGGGGUAGAUGGAGAGAUCAACUUGCACAAGAAAUGUGGAACCAAUGGAGGAGAAGACAUCACACUCAAUAAUUGAAAUAAUUUUUCUAUGUGAGGUUGUAAUAUUGAUUUUAUUUUGUUGAUGUGUUUGUGUUCUUGUAUAAGAGUUGUGCAUGUAUGCUUAUUAGUGCUAGUAAUUUUUACUUUUGAAACUUCUUUGUAACUUUCAUUUGCAUAAUAGUAAUGCUUUUUUAGUAAA